Molecule: long non-coding RNA, 2027 nt
Filed under: Olea europaea (common olive)
Lineage: Eukaryota; Viridiplantae; Streptophyta; Magnoliopsida; Lamiales; Oleaceae
Description: long non-coding RNA (OEUR_LNC007226)
Source: RNAcentral
GUAAGAGUUUAAUUCAUAAUUUAUAUGCAAACAAUUAUGUUGCAUCAUGUUUGUAUGUAUUAGUAUUCUUAUUCAUAUAUGUUAUGAAUCGUGAAAAUAUGAGACAGCAAGUGAUUCUGUAUAUUAACGAACUUUGAGGAGGAACACAAAAGCAACACAAAAGCGAAACUAAUAACCCAAAACAUCCCUGCCAUGUCUGCAUAAAUUUAUAAUCACCAUCCUCUUCUUCAACAUCAUCUCUCUCUCUCUCUCUCUCUCUCUCUCUCUCUCUCUNGGGGGGGGGGGGGGGGGGGGUAGUCAAAUCAAGAAAAUAUAUGCUGCCAAAUUUAGGUCCAAAGACAAAAAUUAAAAUUUCAAGAUCACAAGUCCUACUACAAAGCUUUCUUUUAAAUUAUAGUUUUUAUUUUUUAUAGUUUUAAUUUUUAAUUUUUUUAAUUUUUGAGCAAAUCUUUUUUAUUACAGUUUAUUGUUCAGUAUAAAAGAAGGAACUACUCAGAUAAAUAGUCUUCAGCUCCACUAUAGUGAUCAUCAGCAUCAAUGUGGUGCACACCCUUUCCAUCCACGCUGAAUCUUCCCUUUGAAGGUAUAUAAUCCUGCUAAUAAGCACGCCAUGAGACGAUAUUGAUAUAAUAGCUAAAAUAAUGAACAGAAUCGAAGAAUCAAGAGUAACAUCAAACAAAACCUCAGCAUCGUUCAAUUCUCUGGCAGAAACAGUGGAUCUGUUCCGAACUGUCACUCUUUCAGGCACAGGAAAUUGUUCAAUUUCAUCACUUGAUUUUCCUUCUGCCGCCCUCUUUUUUCUUAACAUGAGCUUUGUUGGAACAGGCUACAUUAAGUUCGACGUGAAUUAGAACAAAGAGGCACCCUCUAUGGAAUUUACAAGCUAAAAAUUAUAAACUUACCAGGUAUCUGGCUUCUGAUUCGCCUAAUGCCAACAGAUAUGUAGUAGGGUCAUCUGCAUCAUCACCUCGAACCUGUGGAACCAUUAUCAAGAUACGUUAUGCAAACAGCUGCAGUAAAAGUCAUUUGAAACUGACAAUAAGCUACAUUACGUACAUCCCAGUGAUACUCUCUGAUCCAUGAAUAAGAAAUCUCUUCAUUUUCGUCAUCCAUAUCCUUCUUUAUCUGCAACCAUUCACACCAAAUUAGCUCAGCAAAAAUCAUCGCUACAUCAAUAAAAUAUUUAGAACAUUUUUCACUUUUUAAAAUUCUUUACCUCACCAAUUGAUGGCACCAUGUAUGACAAAAAUUUAUCAGGUCGGUCUGCACUCGAGCUUGAAGCCAUAAAACUUUUCAUUAUUGCCUGUACAGUGUAUGGAUAAAUUAAAGUGUCGGUCUGUACUCGAGCUUGAAGCCAUAAAACUUUUCAUAAUUGCCCAUACAGUGUAUGGAUAAAUUAAAGUUCCAGCAUUAAUCCUAUAUACUCCAAUCUUUGCUUGUCAAAGAACAUCCCCGGUAGAGUUUUAAGUAUCUAUCAAUAAAACUAUCUGAACAAACUCUUCCCUUAGCAUCUAACGAAAUUAGAAGUAACUGAGAAACCAGGAGGUUAUCCUAGGAAUAAAAACUAGGCUUGCAAAGGAGAUGAUCAUUACAAAUUUUUUUCAAUUAUAUAGGAUUUAGAUAUCGAGAGUCCGCCAACAAUUGAAACCGGGGGGUGGGAACAAAUGACUCGAGAAAGAAAAAUCAAGGAGCAGAUUGAAACAUGUACCAAAAAAUGUAGAAAACUUGAUAGCUGUUAAGAAGCUCUAAGAUAUUCAUUUUCUAGUAUAGCAUUUCAGAAAAUGACGCAUCUCAACUUCCUUUAUCCCUCCCUAUAACUGAGUAGAUCAAAGGUGACAGAACAAAGCAGGAGAUUCCCAAUUUGCACGCUCCAACUACNUCUCUCUCUCUCUCUCUCUCUCUCUCUCUCUCUCUCUGUUAUACAUAUACACAUAUAUUGGCGUGCAGGUGUGUAGCUAUGUAUUCAUCACCUUCAUCUUCUUCUUCAAAAGCUCCUGUAAACCACCUGCACCUGCACCUCCACCUCC